Sander lucioperca (pikeperch) is the source of this 202-nucleotide long non-coding RNA. RefSeq lists it as uncharacterized. The transcript has 3 exons. Lineage: Eukaryota; Metazoa; Chordata; Actinopteri; Perciformes; Percidae. The record is from RefSeq and is a predicted model, not a curated record.
AGAACAUUAAGGAACAACAUUUCAAACAGUGUACUAAUGCUGCGUUCCAGACACAAUUUUUAGCCCGUAAGUUACGACUUCAAGUCGCGACUCACGACUUGGGAGCGUUCCAGGGUUCAGGUUAGGCUACCUAAUGUUAACGUUAGCUAGCGCUAGCUGGUACUAGCGAUUUCUAGUCGGCGACAUAUUUUGGGCUUCAUUU